Molecule: non-coding RNA, 24 nt
Filed under: Arabidopsis thaliana (thale cress)
Lineage: Eukaryota; Viridiplantae; Streptophyta; Magnoliopsida; Brassicales; Brassicaceae
Source: RNAcentral
GAUGAAGUGAUGAUAUGAUGCUGC